CCUACGGGUGGCUGCAGUGGGGAAUAUUGCACAAUGGGCGCAAGCCUGAUGCAGCCAUGCCGCGUGUGUGAAGAAGGCCUUCGGGUUGUAAAGCACUUUCAGCGGGGAGGAAGGCGUUAAGGUUAAUAACCUUGGCGAUGGACGUUACCCGCAGAAGAAGCACCGGCUAACUCCGUGCUAGCAGCCGCGGUAAUACGGAGGGUGCAAGCGUUAAUCGGAAUUACUGGGCGUAAAGCGCACGCAGGCGGUCUGUCAAGUCGGAUGUGAAAUCCCCGGGCUCAACCUGGGAACUGCAUUCGAAACUGGCAGGCGAGAGUCUUGUAGAGGGGGGUAGAAUUCCAGGUGUAGCGGUGAAAUGCGUAGAGAUCUGGAGGAAUACCGGUGGCGAAGGCGGCCCCCUGGACAAAGACUGACGCUCAGGUGCGAAAGCGUGGGGAGCAAACAGGAUUAGAUACCCGGGUAGUC
RNAcentral lists this ribosomal RNA (465 nucleotides) under uncultured Klebsiella sp. Its description in RNAcentral is "bacterial SSU rRNA". It matches the Rfam family "Bacterial small subunit ribosomal RNA", at positions 338 to 795 of the family's 1533-position model. Lineage: Bacteria; Pseudomonadati; Pseudomonadota; Gammaproteobacteria; Enterobacterales; Enterobacteriaceae. The record is from RNAcentral.